AAGGAACCUCUUCUUAUUGAAAGCUGGAUUUGCAUGCCAUUGCUUAAAUACCUGGUUCCACCCCUUUGAUGGCUCCAUAAAAAUACAGACUCACCAGUUCCUGCUUUGAUGUGACAUGUGACUCCCCAGAAUACAUCUUGCUUCUGUAGACCAGCUCCAACAAGAUUCCAUGGUAGCUGGAAUGUUAGGGCUCAGACUUGAAUGCAGCAGUUCUUAUUGCUAACUUACUACCAGUCACCACUAAUGAACAAAGAGUAUGAACAGGCAGUUCAUAAAGAAGAGAUACAGGUGGCCAAUGAAGAUAGGAAAAGAGUUCUGCCUCAGUGAUAAUCAAAGAGACACACAUGGAAACAAAGAAGAUGGCAUUUUCACGUACCAAAUUUGUAAAGAUUAAAAGGACAAGUAGAAAGAAAAGACCUAAUGCCAGCAAAUGUUGGGAUUGGCUCCUGCUGCAUAGUUUGAGCCCCCACGUCCUGGGCUGGCCUGCACGUGCCGUCAGGUGAGGCCUUUCCUCGUCUCUGGGUGCAUUUGGAUCCGCUAUUGAGCAGGUGGCCCCUGCACAUGGUUCACAACUCAGGAAGUGCAAGCUCUAGAGUGAUGCUUGGUCUCUCGGCGUCCCUGCUGCCACCCGGGCCCCUCUGCAGGGAACAGCUGCCUCCAGGGGCUUGUAUGUGUCCUUUGAGGUGUUCUGUGCACAUACACGCACUUCGAAACCUAUUUUUAUUUCCCUGCGCCUGCUCAGGUCAGUGCGGCUAAGGUAUAUUUUUGUCCAUUUCAUCUGUGUUAUUAAGUUUACUAGCAAGAAGCCAUGCUUACCUUUUUAUAAACCUUUGCAACAUCCGUAUUUGUCUCCUUUUUCA
Non-coding RNA from Kogia breviceps (pygmy sperm whale), 860 nucleotides. The record is from RefSeq and is a predicted model, not a curated record. Lineage: Eukaryota; Metazoa; Chordata; Mammalia; Artiodactyla; Physeteridae.